GUUCCAGUGAAAAACUAUCAGAGCCUUGUCUAAUUUAAUGUUUGAUUCCCAGGAAGUAGCUCCAUGACUUCACCCAAUCUGGAAAAGGAAACUGAGGCACAUAAACAUAAAAAUUAAGUCAUUCACCCAAGAUUUCACGGUGGAAUAAAUAGAAAUGGAACCAAGGCAUUUUUUGCUCUGGAACUAGGCAUUUCAGCUAAGAGGCUGAAAAUUUUCUGAGCUACUGUUUAGAGAUGACAUGUAAUCUGAACUGUUCUCUCUUUUUCUUCCACCAGUGUCUGUCAACUGUGCUAAAAACUGGCUCCAGGUCAAAGUGAGACGAACGCCGUUUGUGGAUGAGCUGCUACCCCAGGUUCAUGAGCUCUUUCUCGGAGAUGGCUGCCCCGUCACCACAGAGCUGCCUGAUUCCUUUGAGUUCCUUUACAGUCUUACUACUUGUGGCAUCAGGACUUACGAAAGCUCAUGGGGCAUUCUCAUUGAAAGCUCAGUCACAUAUGAAUCUUUGUUUAUAAACAGAGGAGGUGUCAUCCCAGUGCUGUGCUUUGUUAAAAGAAAUGAUCCAUUCACCUUUGGGGAAGAAGACAUAGAAAGUGAUAAUGAAACAACUGGGGAAAACGCCCAAGGGCCAGGCAGACAGAAGAACACAGCACCACCGGAAGCACCAUCCUUGGAGCCCCCUCCAGGAAUACCAAGCAAGUGAGUCGUCUUUUGACUUAGUACUAUCAAUGCUUUCCAAGGCACAAAAAAGCAAAGGUUCAGUAC
Molecule: long non-coding RNA, 762 nt
Filed under: Bos indicus x Bos taurus (hybrid cattle)
Lineage: Eukaryota; Metazoa; Chordata; Mammalia; Artiodactyla; Bovidae
Description: lncRNA (ENSBIXG00005026344.1)
Source: RNAcentral